This 302-nucleotide unclassified non-coding RNA is filed under the name Moritella viscosa. Its description in RNAcentral is "putative sRNA". The record is from RNAcentral. Lineage: Bacteria; Pseudomonadati; Pseudomonadota; Gammaproteobacteria; Alteromonadales; Moritellaceae.
UUAAAUUGCCAUACAACCACUGACAUAAUCAACACUAUUAAUAUAGCUAUAUCUUACUAAAAUUACGCCCAUAUAAAUAAGGAGAUCUAUAUGAGUUUGUUGUAUUUUUUUUGGUGGCUUGCGCUCAUCAACUAAACUCGUACAGCGCUGUUGCUGACAGGGAUGCAAAGGAGAUUGGAUAUAGAUCAGCCUGGCAGGGGUGAAAGAAGUACUUCUACACAUUAAGUAAUGUUUCUUUAUAUUCAGUCUUUAGCAUAAAAUGGCCUUACUCACUUUGGUGGUAAGGCUAUUUUUUUGCACUU